This 924-nucleotide ribosomal RNA is filed under the name Eutiarosporella dactylidis. RNAcentral describes it as "eukaryotic LSU rRNA". It matches the Rfam family "Eukaryotic large subunit ribosomal RNA", at positions 32 to 975 of the family's 3401-position model. The record is from RNAcentral. Lineage: Eukaryota; Fungi; Ascomycota; Dothideomycetes; Botryosphaeriales; Botryosphaeriaceae.
AAAUAGCAUAUCAAUAAGCGGAGGAAAAGAAACCAACAGGGAUUGCCUUAGUAACGGCGAGUGAAGCGGCAACAGCUCAAAUUUGAAAGCUGGUCCUUUCAGGGCCCGCGUUGUAAUUUGUAGAGGAUGAUUCGGCGAGGGCUCCCGCCUAAGUCCCCUGGAACGGGGCGUCAUAGAGGGUGAGAAUCCCGUAUGCGGUGGGCUGCCUUAGCCAUGUGAAUCUCCUUCGACGAGUCGAGUUGUUUGGGAAUGCAGCUCUAAAUGGGAGGUAAAUUUCUUCUAAAGCUAAAUACCGGCCAGAGACCGAUAGCGCACAAGUAGAGUGAUCGAAAGAUGAAAAGCACUUUGGAAAGAGAGUUAAAAAGUACGUGAAAUUGUUGAAAGGGAAGCGCUUGCAACCAGACUUGUCCGCAGUUGCUCAGCCGGUCUCCUGACCGGCGUACUCUUCUGCGGCCAGGCCAGCAUCAGUUCGGGCGGUCGGAUAAAGACCUCGGGAAUGUGGCUCCCUUCGGGGAGUGUUAUAGCCCGGGGUGGAAUGCGGCCAGCCUGGACUGAGGAACUCGCUUCGGCUAGGAUGCUGGCGUAAUGGUUGUAAGCGGCCCGUCUUGAAACACGGACCAAGGAGUCUAACAUCUAUGCGAGUGUUUGGGUGUCAAACCCAUACGCGAAAUGAAAGUGAACGGAGGUGGGAACCCUCACGGGUGCACCAUCGGCCGAUCCUGAUGUCUUCGGAUGGAUUUGAGCAAGAGCAUAGCUGUUGGGACCCGAAAGAUGGUGAACUAUACCUGAAUAGGGUGAAGCCAGAGGAAACUCUGGUGGAGGCUCGCAGCGGUUCUGACGUGCAAAUCGAUCGUCAAAUUUGGGUAUAGGGGCGAAAGACUAAUCGAACCAUCUAGUAGCUGGUUCCUGCCGAAUUUCCCCUCU